This 497-nucleotide ribosomal RNA is filed under the name uncultured bacterium. RNAcentral's name for it is "partial 16S ribosomal RNA". It matches the Rfam family "Bacterial small subunit ribosomal RNA", at positions 28 to 507 of the family's 1533-position model. The record is from RNAcentral.
GAUGAACGCUGGCGGCGUGCCUAAUACAUGCAAGUCGAGCGAACGGACGAGAAGCUUGCUUCUCUGAUGUUAGCGGCGGACGGGUGAGUAACACGUGGAUAACCUACCUAUAAGACUGGGAUAACUUCGGGAAACCGGAGCUAAUACCGGAUAAUAUUUUGAACCGCAUGGUUCAAAAGUGAAAGACGGUCUUGCUGUCACUUAUAGAUGGAUCCGCGCUGCAUUAGCUAGUUGGUAAGGUAACGGCUUACCAAGGCAACGAUGCAUAGCCGACCGGAGAGGGGGAUCGGCCACACUGGAACUUAGACACGGUCCAGACUCCUACGGGAGGCAGCAGUAGGGAAUCUUCCGCAAUGGGCGAAAGCCUGACGGAGCAACGCCGCGUGAGUGAUGAAGAUCUUCGGAUCGUAAAACUCUGUUAUUAGGGAAGAACAUAUGUGUAAGUAACUGUGCACAUCUUGACGGUACCUAAUCAGAAAGCCACGGCUAACUACGUG